AAAAAAUUAAAAAAAUAAUAAUAAUAAAAAAAACAACUUCAUUUCCAAGGCAGGUCUAGCAGGUAUUUUUAAUCAUGGACAUGAAGAAGAUUUCCCUCGCCAUCAUCUUCGCUGCCGCCUACAUGAGCGCAGUCAUGGCUGCUGGCGCAGAAGGUCCUGCUGCUGCCGAUGCAGAAGCUCCUGCCGCUGCUGGCGCAGAAGGUCCUGUCGGCGCUGCUGGCGCAGAAGGUCCUGCCGGCGCUGCUGGCCCAUCACCUGGCGGAGCCGCUGCCGCCAGCGGAGCUGCCAUGAUCUCUCCAGUUAUUGGGGCUUACCUUGUUUCCUUCUUUGCCUACUAUCUACAGUAAGCUUAUUCAAAUGGAAGGAGAAGGGGAAGGAUUUAUAUUUAUAUAUUAC
This 396-nucleotide long non-coding RNA is filed under the name Jatropha curcas. RNAcentral describes it as "long non-coding RNA (JCUR_LNC001358)". Lineage: Eukaryota; Viridiplantae; Streptophyta; Magnoliopsida; Malpighiales; Euphorbiaceae. The record is from RNAcentral.